RNAcentral lists this ribosomal RNA (889 nucleotides) under uncultured bacterium. Its description in RNAcentral is "bacterial SSU rRNA". It matches the Rfam family "Bacterial small subunit ribosomal RNA", at positions 616 to 1504 of the family's 1533-position model. The record is from RNAcentral.
CAUCAUGGCAGUGGAAACUGAAAGGCUUGAGUAUGGUAGGGGCAGAGGGAAUUCCCGGUGUAGCGGUGAAAUGCGUAGAUAUCGGGAAGAACACCAGUGGCGAAGGCGCUCUGCUGGGCCAUUACUGACGCUCAUGGACGAAAGCCAGGGGAGCGAAAGGGAUUAGAUACCCCUGUAGUCCUGGCCGUAAACGAUGAACACUAGGUGUCGGGGGAAUCGACCCCUUCGGUGUCGUAGCUAACGCGUUAAGUGUUCCGCCUGGGGAGUACGCACGCAAGUGUGAAACUCAAAGGAAUUGACGGGGGCCCGCACAAGCGGUGGAGUAUGUGGUUUAAUUCGAUGCAACGCGAAGAACCUUACCAGGGUUUGACAUCCUGCGAACCUCUUAGAAAUUUGAGGGUGCCUUCGGGAAUGCAGUGUCAGGUGGUGCAUGGCUGUCGUCAGCUCGUGUCGUGAGAUGUUGGGUUAAGUCCCGCAACGAGCGCAACCCACGUUUUUAGUUGCCAGCAUUUAGUUGGGCACUCUAGAAAGACCGCCGGUGAUAAACCGGAGGAAGGUGUGGAUGACGUCAAGUCAUCAUGCCCCUUACACCCUGGGCUACACACGUACUACAAUGCUACGGACAAAGGGCAGCAAACUCGCGAGAGCUAGCAAAUCCCAUAAACCGUGGCUCAGUUCAGAUCGUAGGCUGCAACUCGCCUACGUGAAGUAGGAAUCGCUAGUAAUCGCAGGUCAGCAUACUGCGGUGAAUACGUUCCCGGGCCUUGUACACACCGCCCGUCACACCAUGGAAGUUGGCCAUGCCCGAAGUCGUUACUCCAACCCUUGUGGAGGAGGACGCCGAAGGUGGGGCUAAUGACUGGGGUGAAGUCGUAACAAGGUAACCGUA